AGAUGAUCAUCGUUUUCUUCCUUUUCAUGAGUAAAGUUAGCAAGUUCUUGAAGAUAAAGGAAACAAAAAAUAGAGAUGGAUAGAGUUUUAGAAUUCAGGGACAUGAGAAAAGAGGAAUGGUGGCAACAUAUUCUGAUCACAACCUAAGAUUCAGAGAUGAUGCAACCUUGCUGUCGCAUUAGUAGAUGAGCAACUUGCUUUUGUUUGCAAUCGUCAGUCUUCCUUGAUCUUUCAAUUGGAAAGUAUUAGGAAGCAACUUGGCUCUGUUAAAGUCUUCUUUCAUCUUGUUCUGCUCAGUUGCAUUAGCAUGUCAAUUUCCAGGAGAAGUUUCCUAACAACUGCUGAUAGCUGUCUUUUUGGUGGCCACAAAUCUUGUCUCUCUUAUUCGUAUUAAUUAUGGUUGUCCAAUAGCUACUAAUUUCUCCUAUUUGGCAGUUCUCAGGAAAUUCUCAGAACCUUCACAUUCAAGAAGAUGCUCCAGUCAUUUAAAACUCUUGAUAGGGUUCUUGAAGAGUUCUUUUUUUAGAUGAAAGCUGUUCCAACUUUGGGGCUCAUCAAGAUCAGGCAUCAUGGUUGACUGACUUGAGGAUAGACAACAAUAUGAAAUGAGGAACAAAUACAUGAUAUUGACAGAUAACCUAAUAGUUGAAGGAUUCUUGGUCUACGCUCUUAUCCCAUUUAAUGUUUAUUGGAAGUAGAGAUCCAACUGAUGGAUUGAAACAUGUCUUUGAUAGCUCUCUAUGCACUCUUGUCACAACCCACAAGAUUGUGGUAGUUUGGUUUUCUUGUAAGGUGUAUUGACAGAUCCAAUUGGUGUUUGGAAUCUUUGUGUAUUUGAAUCAGUCAGUUGAAUAGUUUCAGACUAAUGGAGGAUGAUCCAAACAGGGCAUGAUAAGAUUUUGUGUAUUGCAAGCUGUUGACCGCAGAUUUCUCAUGAUUAAUCAUAAGAUAAGCUAUGUAUUGUUAUUAUCUGUAAUCUAAGAUAAUUGUGUUGGUGUGAGAUGAUCCACAUUGAUCAUGUAUACAAUUUUCCUCACAAUUGAUGGAAUCAUGGUUGUGGUAAUAAUUGUUUUCAGGUGUAUGAAAAAGAAUAAAUCUCUUCAGUAGGUGUUUUCUUUUUCAAACAAAUUGAAUUAAAAUAAGACUUGAAGACAGGCGAAGUUUCAACACCAAGAACGCUUCCCCUCUGUCAUCACCUGCAGGUUGGUGUAGCCUUACAAGUUCGUCACUUAAAUAUUGUAUUUAUGUCACGCACGUUUGCAUAUGCCCAAUUUAACUCAGACUAAUCAUUAUUAUUAGUUUCAUGAAGGAUAUAUGUGUGUGUAAAGAGUAGUGAUGUAAAUUUGAAUUCAACAUUGACAGUCAAAUCAUGUAGAUUCACUAUAAUAUUUAUGAAUUUUGCAUAUAUAUGUAUAUAUAUAUAUAUAUAUUACGUAGAUGUGUUUUUAUAUUUUGAACAGAGGCAAUUCAUAGACAAUGAUAGAAUAGAAAUUAUUCACUGAUAUCAUAAUUUAGAAAUGAAUUGUACGAAAUAAUUAAGUCACAAAUGUUACAUAGGUGGUAAGUAUGAAGCCUAUGUUUUGGGUAUAAGAAUUAGAGGGGCAUGCAAAGAAAACUUGGAUAAUGUAUGCAGAAAAGUCUGUAUAACAUUGAUAGCGUGACAAUAGUGAGCUCAAUGAAGUAGGGGCCAGCCAACAUCAUAUUCCUACAAGGCAUUGUUCGAGUCUUACUGUAAGUUUGUAUCCUCCAAACUGCACAUUGCUACAACUAUCCGACUGAAGAAGCUAUGGAUGCAUCUGCAGUUGCAACAGAUGGAGCUGUUUAAUUUGAUCUACUCAUGUAAUGAUCCUCUUGUUUGAGAUGCUUGUCUUCAUCAAUCGAAUACAUAUUGGUUGCAUCAUAAGCUCAAGUCCACCAAAUGUGCAACUGCAUGAUCUUCUUGGAUCUCAUGCCCAGAUCUUUUCAGUUGAUGAGUCUCCCAUUAAUGGGACAUGCUGCAGCUGCAUGCAUGUCAAUGUGAACAAUAUGAUCUGUGCAUGGUAGAAUGAUCCAUUUAUGGUCAACAGAGUGUGGCCCCUCUCUGAGCCACUUUGCCAUGGAUUCUGUGUCAUGACUCGGGAUGUAGACGAGCUUCACUCGAUUACCUGUUGCCAUUAGCACUCGAAUGUAAGCAAAGUUCACGAGAAGGUAAUUCUUGGUUCAAACUGUUUUGCAGAGUCAAUACAAAGAAGAAGAGAUGUUACAUCAACAUUUUCUUAGGGAUCUAAUUCUUACCCUCCAUAAAUAAGGGUUGGGUGAUUGAGAUCAGGAAUGAAUCGACAUUUAUAAUUUUGCUAGUUUUCAUUAAUAAAAUUUUAAAUAUUUUUAUUUAAUUAAAGAUAUUGUCUUGUAUGGAACUCAAUAAUUGAUUUUAAAUAAUUGAGACAUUACGGUUUGUUAUUAUUAUUUUUUAUAAAUAAAAUUGUCUGUUGCUCAAAAGAUAAUGUGUUAAUUACAGAAAAGUUAAUCUGAUUAGAAAUCCCACUAUGAGAAAUAGAAAUUGCAGAACUGAGACUUCUAAAGAUGAGACAAUGAACAUUAUUAUUUAUAUUUUUUGAAAUAUAUUUAAAAUUAAUUAUUUUGAUCAUCUUGGCUAAAUAAAAGAUAGUGGUAAAAAGAAAGUGUACCAUAUCAAGUUGGUAUUGUCAACAAAAUUUGUAUAAAUUAUAGAGUCCAGUACACAAUAAAAUAAAAUAAAAAUUCAAAGAGUAAGCUUUGAGUAGCCUUUUCAGGAUUGAAAUCUCAUCCCAUUAGUAUGAAGAAGGCAUAAGUUUUUUUAUUUAUAAAAAAAUAAAAAAAUUAUUGAUGAAAUUGAUAGAAAAUAAUCUCAUUCAUCUUAAAGAAAAUCAAAAGAUGGAAGUCCACAUGAUAAAUUUUUUUAAAAAACUAAAAAAAAUGUUGAUUCUAUCAUAGGUGGUUAACUAACUAAUUAGUUUUACGAUUUUCUUUCAUAAAUAUAUAUGUGAUGUUCCCUGGUUUAUUGUUAUUGUUGCUAUAGGUGAGAAGGUAUGGCACAAGAAGACUGUUAAUAUGGGUUGAGUGUUAAUGAUUCCUAAAUACUAUGUUGUAUCUAAUAUCAUUUCUCGAUUUGUAUAUGUCAUCCUUACGUAGGGUAUAUAUUAAUCUUUUUUAUAUCAUUCUAAUUUUAUUAAAUAUUUUUGGGUUAUUCUGAAUUUUGUCAAAGAUGUCAAACCAUUAAGCGGAGGAGUUUAUAACAUCUCGAUUAGUAUUAAGAUUAAUUUAUAAGAAUAAGAUUUUUAGAAUGCAUGAACACGAUAAAAGAGGAAUUGUGGCAACAGAUUCUGAUCACAACCUAAGAUUCAGAGAUGAUGCAACCUUGCUGUUGUGAUAGUAGAUGAGCAACUUGCAAUCGUCAGUCUUCCUUGAUCUUUCUAUUGAAAAGUAUAAGGAAGCAACUUGGCUCUGUUAGCUGGAAUUUAAAGUCUUCCUUCGUCUUGUUCUGCUCAGUUGCAUUAUCAUAUCAAUUUACAGGAGAGUUUCCCAGCAACUGCUGAUCGCUCUGUUUGGUGCCCACAAAUCUUGUCUUUCUCUUAUUCGUAUUAAUUAUGCUUGUCUGAUAGCUACAAAUAUCUCUAUUUGUAAUCAGGACAACUGCCUGUUCUUACCAAUUAAUACCUUAUAAUCAGAUCUUGUUAAAGAAAUGUUUCUCAACAAACUUUCCAAGAGUACUUCAACACUAUUCAAUAGAUGAAAAUAGGAGGAAUUUAUAAUCCUGAUCCAUGUUGUGUCAUCAUUUUGAAUCCAUUCCUUUUGAAUUGGCACUUUCUCCAUCACAAUAACUGGGAAGAGACUUCUACAAUAGCUAGCCUUAGAACUUUUUUCUUUUUUGGCAUAUGUUCAUACAUUAACCAAUCAUAAAAAGAAUAUGAUUCUUUAUGCUGAUUCCUUAGUUAUAAGAUAAGCUGAGACCUAUUUGGCCAAUAUUUUCCCAAUACUUCUUUAUUAAUAGAGGCUUCAGGAGUCUUAUAUGUUGUAUUUCAAUUUUUUUUAAGAGCAGGAUUUGUCUCAAUUAUUAUGUGACUUGGACUAUGGUGUCAAUUGAAAGACCAUGACAAACUAAUUAAUAGUGCACAAAUUAUGGCUCAUUGGCUGUAGCCUUUUUUUUAUGAGAAGGGAUAAAAUGGAGCAGCAGUGUGAGCAAGAAAGAAGGAUUUAAUUGACAUUUUUCAGUGAACAAGUUAAUCCUUGGUUGGUGGUGAAAAGACAGUUUCAUGGUGAAGUAACAAUUUUUGCAAGGAUGUGUUUAUCUUUGGCUAUCAUAUUUUAGUUUAUGUAAUUGUUGCAGAAUAUUUAUUUGCACCAUUAUUCACAUUGCUUGAAGGGAUUGCUAUUAUCACACAGCAUCUUAGCAUUAAGAGAACAUUUCAAGGGUGGCGUUGGACGCCAAAUGGAAAUCAAAUUGAUCUUUGUUUAUUAAUAAAAUCACGUGCGUUUGUUGUUCUUUAGAAACUUUAAUACUCCUGAUUUCAUUUGAGACUUUGGAAACCUGGGAUUAGCACAAGUCUCUAUGAUACGCCAACAGGUUUUUGCGUUACUAGGUUAUGUGUAACAUUAAGGAACAGAUAUAUUGUUUCUUUGGCCGAGCUGCAUGUUCUUACACUUGUUAAAUUCUCUUUCCUUAUCCUUUUUUCAUCGACUAUUUUCUAAAUCUUGGAUCAUAAAACUCAAAUAGAGUGAAGAUAAUUAAAGUGAACUUUAUCUUCUAAAACAGGCUUUUGCUUAUUAUUAAGAUGAUUCAGAUAAAUUCUGCAAUUCAAAAUUGCAGCUUUCGACACCCAUAAUUGUCCACGAGAAGCAUAUGAAAUAGAAUUGAGGGGCAUAAAUCUGCCUGUUCUCACUAUCCAUCAUGAAGUAAUUUUAUCUAGAAAGGAGAGCCAAAUUUAUGCAGUCAUGAAAUUUUUUGUUCUCAUAUUUCUUCUACGAUGAUUGUUUAAAUGGCACAGAUUUUGAGAUUCUGGCUUUUCCAUGCAACCAAUUUGCUGGGCAUGAACCAAUGAGGAGAUUGUUGAGUUUGCUUGCACUCGAUUCAAAGCUGAAUAUCCCAUAUUUGACAAGGUAAAUUAUUGUUUUUUUUAUUUUCUCAAUUUCUGGGUUUAUCCCUUCGAUAAUCUUCUGUAGGCAAAUCUCACAGCUAAACCAUUCUUGACCAGUGUUUACCCCAAUAUAAAUUGAUUUUUUUUUUUUUAUCAGAUCAUUAUGUUUGAGAGAAACCUACUCAGUCGCUUGACUUUCUAGUUGCAAUUAAUUUUCUUCUAUAGGUCGAUGUGAAUGAUCUAAAUACAUAAGUUCUUGAAGUCAAGCAAAGGUGGCGACAUUUUGGGGGAUGGCAUCAAGUGAAACUGCACUAAGUUCAUGAUGGACAAGGAUGGUCGUGUUGUAGGUCGCUAUGCCCCAACCAUAUCCCUUUUGAGUAUUUGAGGUAAACCCAAAGCUCCCUUGCCUCAUCCCUCUUACCCUUUGUCAAAUCGUAUUCGAUAUACUCGACGGUGCCAACAAUAUACCAUCAUCUAACGAUUGAUCUUAAAUAACUUUGCAGAAGGAUAUCAAGAAGCUUUUGAGGCCUUCAUAAAUUACAUAUGCUUGCAGCCUCUGAUCUUGCUUGCACACUGCUGUAGUACAUAUGACCAUGACUAAAGUGUCAAUUGCUUAAAAGAUAAUAUGUUAAUCACAGAAAGGUUAGUCUAAUUAUAUAUCCGACCACGGGAGAUUUCAAAUAUGGAAUUAAGGAUUCUGGAGACAAGAGAAUGAAAAUUAUAAUUUAUACAUUCAUGAAAUAUGUUGAAAAUUAAUUAUAAAUAGAAGAUGUUGGUAAAAAUAAAGCAUGGGUUGUAAGAUUUUAAGUUGUUAUCGUAAGCAAAAUUUGUAUAAAUUUUAGAGUUUCUUACACAAUUAAAAAUAGAAAUUUAAACUUUAGAAUUUCAAUCUGUUAUUAAUUUUGACGUAUAUGUUACUCUUACUUUAUCAAUACACCAUUCAUAUUUAGAUCAGGAUGGAUGCCCUUCAAUUAUAAUUGUAAUUGUAUCUAUAUAAUCCUUACAUUAAAUUGACCUAAUUAACUUCUUAUUUUCGGCUACUGUUCGAGGUGGAUGCAAUAAAGGCCUUCACAAGCUUUGAAAUGUCAAUUACCCUCGAACCUCCAUGUUCGUUCUUGAAUUCUACAACUAUAUUUACAAGGUACCAUUAUCAACAUUAAUAAAUAAAUUUUAUAGGAUCGACGUUUUGUUGCACAAGAGCAUAUCAUUUGCGUUAAUUCAUAAAAAUAAUUUAGAAUUACGAGAGAGACAUAUGAUUUGACCUUAAAAUUAAGAUCUUAUACGAAAGUUUUAUCUAGAAAUCCAGAUUUGGUCAACUCUUUUUCAAAUUAAAACUUUAUAUGUAAAAAUAUAUAUGAAAAAGAAAUCAAAUUUACAGGAAUAUUAACAAUGCUACGAUAUAUAUAUAUAUAUAUAUAUAUAUAUAUAUAUAUAUAUUAUUUUUGUAUAGCAUGGCUUAAGAUAUUGUGAGAAGUAUUUGGUAGCUUAAGCUGACAGCAUCCGAAAUGUAUCCGUCCACACCGGUGAAUUCCCAUGCCUCGCUCUGUAAAAUAGCACUCCAUUUGCUUCUGUCAGUUUCUCUGGACAGUCUACACCCCAAAGCUAUAGCUGCCAUGGGCAAGCCUCUGCAUUUGUUGACGACAUACAUCUUGUAGUCAUGAAGUUAGCAUCUUCUUCGAUUCUGGUGGUCACUAUUAUCUUACUUCCUUGAGCACCGGAGUACAAGAAGUUUUUUAUCCUCUCCCAGUCCUGUGGGCUCACAUGCCAAACAUCAUCCAGAACAAGCAGGUAUCUCCUCCCACUCAGCUUCUUUCCAAGUUCUUUCUGAAGAUUGUCAAGGCUGACAAAGUCACACCGAAAACCAUCGAUGGAUUCAAUGAUGGUCUUCGUAAUGCUCGUUGUAUCAAAAUCCUGAGACACAUAAGCCCAUANNNNNNNNNNNNNNNNNNNNNNNNNNNNNNNNNNNNNNNNNNNNNNNNNNNNNNNNNNNNNNNNNNNNNNNNNNNNNNNNNNNNNNNNNNNNNNNNNNNNNNNNNNNNNNNNNNNNNNNNNNNNNNNNNNNNNNNNNNNNNNNNNNNNNNNNNNNNNNNNNNNNNNNNNNNNNNNNNNNNNNNNNNNNNNNNNNNNNNNNNNNNNNNNNNNNNNNNNNNNNNNNNNNNNNNNNNNNNNNNNNNNNNNNNNNNNNNNNNNNNNNNNNNNNNNNNNNNNNNNNNNNNNNNNNNNNNNNNNNNNNNNNNNNNNNNNNNNNNNNNNNNNNNNNNNNNNNNNNNNNNNNNNNNNNNNNNNNNNNNNNNNNNNNNNNNNNNNNNNNNNNNNNNNNNNNNNNNNNNNNNNNNNNNNNNNNNNNNNNNNNNNNNNNNNNNNNNNNNNNNNNNNNNNNNNNNNNNNNNNNNNNNNNNNNNNNNNNNNNNNNNNNNNNNNNNNNNNNNNNNNNNNNNNNNNNNNNNNNNNNNNNNNNNNNNNNNNNNNNNNNNNNNNNNNNNNNNNNNNNNNNNNNNNNNNNNNNNNNNNNNNNNNNNNNNNNNNNNNNNNNNNNNNNNNNNNNNNNNNNNNNNNNNNNNNNNNNNNNNNNNNNNNNNNNNNNNNNNNNNNNNNNNNNNNNNNNNNNNNNNNNNNNNNNNNNNNNNNNNNNNNNNNNNNNNNNNNNNNNNNNNNNNNNNNNNNNNNNNNNNNNNNNNNNNNNNNNNNNNNNNNNNNNNNNNNNNNNNNNNNNNNNNNNNNNNNNNNNNNNNNNNNNNNNNNNNNNNNNNNNNNNNNNAUAUAUAUAUAUAUAUAUAUAUAUAUAUAUAUAUAUAUAUAUAUAUAUAUAUAUAUAUAUAUAUAUAUAUAUAUAUAUAUAUAUAUAUAUAUAUAGUUGAUCAUGGGGGCACAUAAAUGUGUUUUUAUAUUUUGAACGAGUUCAAGAAACAAUUCAUCAACGAUAAUAUAACAUAAAUUAUUCACAGAUAUCGUAAUUUAGAAAUGAAUUGUACCAAAUAAUUAAGUAAAAAAUGUUGCGUAGGUGGUAAGUAUGAAGACUAUGUUUUGGGUAUAAGAAUUAGGAGGACAUGCAAAGAAAUUUUGGAUAAUUUAUGCAGAAAUGUCUGUGUAACAUUGAUAGCGUGACAAUUGUGAGCUUAAUGAAGUAAGGGCAAGCCAACAUCAUAUUCCUACUAGGCAUUGUUUGAGUCCCAAAAUCUCUUAUUACCAUGACCUGCAGCUAAUUUUGAUAGGACAUAAAUAUAUAAUUGCUCAGCAUGCAAAGAACUAAGAAGUCAUAAUGUUAACCAAAAAUUACUCACACUAGGAACAAGGUCUGAAUCACUCUGAAGGAACUUUUAUUCUUAGUAAACUCUUGAGUCUUAUAUAUGUCAGAAACUAUGAUUGUCAAUUUGGACAGCCACCUCUCUUUCACAAGACAUUUUCAUUCAUUCUGGUCAUCAUGUUUCUGCAAGUAGGACUGAGUGUUGGGACUGGUAGUAGAAUGAUCACAUCAUAUAUAUGGACCAUCAGCCAUUGUGGUAGCGCUUCCUCGACCUUUUCUGUGAAAUUGCUUGCCAGUUUCUAUGCACUACCGGUGUGCCAGAAAUAUGAAAAUCUAAUUAAAUAGCUUAACGGAUUAAGCUGCCAUUGUGGUUGUUUUUCUAGUUUCAAGGACUCAUUUUAGACAUUACAAGUAUAUGACAAUGGAUUUGCUCUCAUGGACACCUUCUAUCAUUGUCAACCUAGAAAAUGGAUUGUUGACUUACUGGCUUGACCUUGACUUAAUGCUCAUCCACACAGUAGAAUGGACUAACAGACGAAUGGAGGAGAGAGAUCUGGUCACUCCAUAUUAUAUUACAAGUAGAUACCUGCAUUGUGAUGCACCAGCAACCAGAACCCCAAUCCAUGGCUACAGACAAUGUCUACGUUCUCUUCUUCUUAUUGGCCUUCCUAUGCAUUCAACUGAUAAAACCCAACGUCUGCGACGGAGCUCUAACCUCAGGCUGCAUCCCUGCCGAAAGAAGUGCUCUACUUGAGUUCAAACGAGGCCUGAAAGAUCCUACCAACAGGCUGUCCUCUUGGGUGGGUGAAGACUGCUGCAAAUGGGAGGGUGUGGCGUGCAGCAAUCAUACUGGGCAUGUCGUCAAGCUGGACCUCCAGAAUCCGCAUCCUUUCUCUGAUUUUAGUGACGAGCCAUACAACAACUGGACCUUAGGAGGUGAGUUGAGGCCUUCUUUACUUGGUCUGAAGCACCUAAAGUACCUGGACCUAAGCAUGAACAAUUUUGGAGGCAUUAGUAUUCCAGAAUUCAUGGGGUCAUUCCAUCAACUCCAAUAUCUUAACCUCUCCAGAGCUGGAUUGGGUGGAGUCCUGCCUCACCAGCUGGGAAAUCUCUCCGAUCUGCAGUAUCUAGACUUAUACAAUGACUUGGAUCCCAAUUUUGUGGUUCGGGUCCGUGAAUUUAGCAUUGGUGAUGCACUCUGGAUUUCUCACCUUUCUUCUCUAAAGCAUCUCAACCUGAAGAGUGUUAACUUUCAAAAUGGUACUCACUGGCUGGAAGCUCUGAACAUGCUUCCUUCUAUCGUGGAGAUAUACUUAUCUCUCUGUGAAAUUCCAAGUGUUCCCCUCUCUCUUCCGCAUGUGAACUUUACAUCACUAUCUGUUCUUGAUUUGUCCUAUAAUUUCAUUAGCUCUACGAUACCCUCUUGGUUAUUCAACAUAAGUGGCCUUGAGCAUCUUGAUCUCAGUGAUAACUUAUUUCAGGGUAAUAUUCCACCAGCCUUUGGUAACUUGGCUUCCCUCAAGGGCCUUAAUUUAGCUAACAAUUUUCGUCUUCAAGGAGGAAUACCCACUUCCUUCAAAAAUCUGUGCAAGUUGCAGAAUUUAAUAUUGUCAGGCAUCAAUAUCAGCAAAGAUUUGUUAGAACUCGAUGAAAUUUUCUCUGGUUGCAUCAAGAUGAGCCUAGAGGUUCUAAGCUUAGCUAGAACGAAUAUUAGUGGGCAGUUGCCUGAAUGGUUAUUCCAACUAGCGUCACUCCAAGAGCUCUAUCUUCAUCGAAAUCAACUGAAUGGAACUAUACCAGAAAGCUUGGGACAGCUGUCUCAGCUAGUUGUUUUGGACCUUUGGUACAACCAUUUGGAGGGUGUAAUGUCUGAGGCGCAUUUUGGAAACCUCACAGAAUUGAAAUACUUAACUUUGUCGUCCAACUCCUUGGCUCUGAAGGUCAAGAGCAAUUGGCUUCCUCCCUUCCGGCUAGAAUCCCUUUGGAUGGGCUCCUGCAAACUGGGUCCCGAGUUCCCUGCAUGGCUCCAGUCGCAAAUAAAUAUUUCAGAAAUUGUUAUGUCUAAUGCUAGUAUUAUUGAUGCUAUGCCAAACUGGUUUUGGAGCUUAAUUUCCACGGCAGUGUACGUGAGUGUCUCCGGCAAUCAGAUCAGUGGCCACGUACCCAAUUUGUUGCAUUUAAACAACCUCUACGGGUUGGAUUUAAGUUCAAACUACUUCGAGGGUCCUCUUCCAUAUUUUCCUCCUGGAUUGUCUUUAUUAGAUCUGUCAAACAAUUCAUUUUCAGGAACAAUUUCACUUGCCAUCAUCAUGAAUAUGCCUAACCUCGUAUAUUUAUCGCUUUCGGAAAACAAUUUAAGCGGUGAAAUUCCCUUCUCUAUAUGCCAACUGCAGGUCUUGUGGAUUCUUGAUCUUUCAAAAAAUAUGUUGUCAGGAGAGCUCCCCAAUUGCUGGAAUAAUUCUUCCCCAAUUGAAGUUAUGGAUUUUUCAAGAAACAACAUAUCUGGAGUUAUUCCUGAGUCGAUAUGUUCCUUAGUAUCGCUUCAGUCGUUGCACUUGAGCAAUAACAGUCUAUCUGGAGAGCUGCCUUUGUCCUUGAAGGAUUGUGGGAAAUUAAUCCUUCUUGAUGCCGGACAUAAUGAUUUGAAAGGUGAAAUUCAAACCUGGAUAGGUGAAAGUUUAACUAGUCUGCGGUUCCUCAAUCUGCGAUCAAAUAUGUUGGCCGGAGAUGUUCCUCCAAAUCUUUCAAGAUUGAGUGCUCUCCAAUUUCUCGACCUUGCAGAUAAUGAGCUAUCGGGAACUAUUCCAAGGAGCUUUGGAAAUUUUACUGCCAUGAAAGUAAUUGAAAAUUUUUCGAGUUGGAGGACAGGUCAAAUUAGAUAUAAGGAGCAGAUGUUUAUAACAACUAAAGGAAACACUCGAGCGUAUGAUGUGUCGCUUUCGCUUAUCAAUAUCUUGGACCUCUCGGACAAUAACUUAUUUGGAGGAGUACCUGAAGAACUCACAAGUCUUUUUGGCUUAUUCAGCUUAAAUUUAUCUGGAAACCAUUUCACAGGAGAAAUCAUUGAAAAUAUCAGUAAAUUACAACAGUUGGAGUCCCUUGACUUGUCAAGGAACAACUUUUCUGGCACAAUUCCUUCGAGCCUCGCUGCCCUGACUUCUUUGGCUCACUUGAACCUCUCAUACAACAACUUGUCAGGGGAAAUUCCUCUUGGUAAUCAACUUCUGACCUUCAAUGAUCCAUCUAUCUAUAUUGGCAAUCCUGGUCUUUGUGGGUUUCCUCUGAAUCAAAGUUGCAAAGACAAUGAGACAGCACAAGGUCGAAGUAAUGCAGAUGACAGAGAUGACAACGAGAUGAUAUGGUUCUACAUGAGCAUGGCACCAGGAUUUGUUGUUGGUUUCUGGGCAGUCUGGGGUACAUUGAUACUAAACAAGAAUUGGAACCUUUACUACUUCAGAUUUAUAGACAAUAUACUUGACAAAGUGUAUGUGUUCACCGUACUGAAAGUUUCUAGGAUCAGAAAACGUUGUUGUUUCCAACAAGGAUGAUAAAUUUGAACAUCAAUAUAUGCUGUAUGAGAGUUCAUCUCGUUAAUAUCAUAUCAUCAGCUUGAAUAAAAUUUAAUACUUCUGGACUUGUAUACAAGUAAGUCAUGCACUCUCAAUUUUGAUCAUUUCUGUCAAGUUCGCAGUACCAUAUGAAGUGUUCUAAUUCUGGGGACUGCCAAAAAGCUUGCACCUUUUAAUUAGUUUUUCCAAAAUAGACACCCCUUUUUUAGUUGUUCAGUUUGGCAGAAAUGAAAGGAGGUUAAAACUUUUACGAAGAUAUAGAUAGAAUUUCUGCAGCUGCGACAGAUGGAGCUGUUUAAUAUGAUCUACUCAUGUAAUGAUCCUCUUGUGUUUGAGAUGCUUGUCUUCAUCAAUCAAAUACAUAUUGGAUGCAUCAUAAGCUCAAGUCCACCAAAUGUGCAGCUGCUUGAUCAUCUUGGAUCUCAUGCUCAGAUCUUUUCACUUGAUGAGUCUCCCAUUAAUGGGGGACAUGCUGCUGCAGAUGAUGGAAUUGGGCCGAAGAGGCUUUCACACGCAUGUCAAUGUGACAAGGAUGAUCUGUGCAUGCAGGAAUAAUCCAUUUAUGAUAUACAGAGUGUGGCCCCUCUCUGAGCCGCUCACAUUGAAUUUUGCCAUGGAUUCUGUGUUAUGACUCGGGAUGUAGACGAGCUUCAUUUGAUUACCUGUUGCCAUUAGCACUCAAACGUAAGCAAAGUUCAUAGGAAUGUAAUUCUUGGUUCAAACUGUUUUGUAGACGCAAAACAAAGAAGAGGUGUUACAUCAACAUUUUCUUAUGGAUCUAAUUAUCACCCUCCAUAAAUAAGAGUGAUUAAGAUCAGGAGUGAAUCGAGAUUAAUAAUUUUUCUAGUAUCCAAUAAAUAAAAAAUUAUGUAUUUUUAUUUAAUUAUAGACAUUAUCUUGUACAAAACUCGAGAAUUGAUUUUAAAUAAUUGUUAUUAUUUUUGUAAAUAAAAAGAUCUAUUGCUCAAAAGAUAAUGUGUUAUUUAUAGAAAUGUAAGUUUGACUAGAAAUCCCACCACGAGAGAUUUCUUGAAAUAUAUUAAAAAUUAAUUAUUUUGAUCAUCUUGGCUAAACAAAAAAAUGUUGGUAAAAGGAAAACUUAGGUACUAAGAUAUCAAGUUGGUAUCAUCAGCAAGAAUUGUAUAAAUUAGAGAGUCCAAUUGAUAUAGAUGAGAAGGUAUGACAUGAGAAGAUUAUUAAUAUGGUUUAAUUGUUAAUAAUUCAUAAAUACUAGGUCGUAUUUAAUAUUAUUUCUUAAUUUAUAAAUGUCAUCGGCUCAUGUUAAUCUUUUCUGUAUCGUUCUAAUUUUAUUGGAUGUUUCUAGGUUAUGCUGGGCUUUGACGAAGAUAUCAAGUGAAAAAGUUUAUAAUAUCUUGAUUUAUAGAGUAGACAUAAUUAAGAUUGAUUUAUAAAGAUAUGAUGGACUUACUAUUAUUAAUUUUAACUUAAACACUUUAAUCAAUGGUUUAAGUUUUAAUAGCUCAUUAGUUUGUUAAGAGUAUCGACACAAUGACAGGGAGAUACAUGAUUAAGCUAGUCUCACACAAUGAUAGAGUGAUGCAUGGUUAAUCCCUUUAUGCAAGAUUUACUUUUUUAACAUGAGAUGAUCAUUGUUUUCUUUGUUUUUCAUGAGUAAAGUUAGCAUGUUCUCGAAGAUAAAAGAAAAAAAAAUUGACACGACAAGAGAGGAAUGGUAGCAACAGAUUCUGAACACAAACUAAGAUUCAAAGAUGAUGCAACCUUGCUGUUGCAAAAGUAGAUGAGUAACUUGGCUCUGAUAGCUGGAAUUGAAGGUCUUCCUUCCUCUUGUUCUGCUCAGUUGCAUUAUCAUGUCAAUUUCCAGGAGAGUUUCCCAGCGACUGCUGAUCGCUGUCUUCUUGGUGACCACAAAUCUUGUCUUUCUUUUAUUCGUGUUAAUAAUGGUUGUCUGAUAGCUACAAAUUUCUCCUAUUUAGCAGUUCUUAGGAAAUUCUCAAAACCUUCACAUUCAAGAAGAUGCUGGAGUCUUUAGAUGAAAGCUAUUCCAACUUUGGGACUCGUCAAAAUCAGAAGUCAUAGUUGACUGACUUGAGGAUAGACAACAAUAUGAAAUGAAGAACAAGUGCAUGAUAUUGGCAGACAGCCUAAUUGUUGAAGGUUUCUUGGUCUACUCUUUGAAUCCGUCAGUUGAGUAGUUUCAGACUAACGGAGGAUGAUCCAAACAGGGCAUGAUAAUAAUAUUUUGUGUAUUGCAAGCUGUCCACCGCAGAUUUCUCAUGAUUAAUCUUAAGAUAAGCUGCGUAUUUUUAUUAUCUGUAAUCUAAGAUAAUUGUGUUGGUGUGAGAUGAUCCACUUUGAUCAAGUACACAAUUUCCCUCCCAAUCGAUGGAAUCAUGGUUGUGGUAAUAAUUGUUUUCAGGUGUAUGCAAAAAGGCAAAUCUACCUGUUCUGUGAAAUUUCUUGCCAGUUUCUAUGCACUACCGGUGCCAGAAAUAUGAAAAUCUAAUUAAAUACCUUGACGAAUUAAGCUGCCAUUAUGGUUGUUUUUCUAGUUUCUUGGACUCGUUUUAGACAUUACAAGUGUAUGACACUGGAUUUGCUCAGUAGAACAUCAUGGACGACCUUCUAUCAUUGUCAACCUAGAACAUCGNNNNNNNNNNNNNNNNNNNNNNNNNNNNNNNNNNNNNNNNNNNNNNNNNNNNNNNNNNNNNNNNNNNNNNNNNNNNNNNNNNNNNNNNNNNNNNNNNNNNNNNNNNNNNNNNNNNNNNNNNNNNNNNNNNNNNNNNNNNNNNNNNNNNNNNNNNNNNNNNNNNNNNNNNNNNNNNNNNNNNNNGUGCAGCAAUCAUACUGGGCAUGUCGUCAAGCUGGACCUCCAGAAUCCGCAUCCUUUCUCGGAUUUUGGUGACGAGCCAUACAACAACUGGACCUUAGGAGGUGAGUUGAGGCCUUCUUUACUUGGUCUGAAACACCUGAAGUACCUGGACCUAAGCAUGAACGAUUUUGGAGGCAUUAAUAUUCCAGAAUUCAUGGGGUCAUUCCAUCAACUCCAAUAUCUUAACCUCUCCAGAGCUGGAUUGGGUGGACUCCUGCCUCACCAGCUGGGAAAUCUCUCCAAUCUGCAGUAUCUAGACUUAUCCAAUGACUUGGAUCCCAAUUUUGUGGUUCCGGUCCGUGAAUUUAGCAUUGGUGAUGCACUCUGGAUUUCUCACCUUUCUUCUCUAAAGCAUCUCAACCUGAAGAGUGUUAACUUUCAAAAUGGUACGCACUGGCUGGAAGCUCUGAACAUGCUUCCUUCUAUUCUGGAGAUAUACUUAUCUCUCUGCGAAAUUGGAAGUGUUCCCCACUCUCUUCCGCAUGUGAACUUUACAUCACUGUCUGUUCUUGAUUUGUCCUAUAAUUUCAUUAGCUCUACGAUACCCUCUUGGUUAUUCAACAUAAGUGGCCUUGAGCAUCUUGAUCUUAGUUCGAACAACCUUCAGGGUAAUAUUCCACCGACCUUUGGUAACUUGGCUUCCCUCGAGGAACUUAAUUUAGCUAACAAUCCUCUUCAAGGAGGAAUACCAACUUCCUUCAAAAAUCUGUGCAAGUUGCAGAAUUUAAUAUUGGCAGGCAUCAAUAUCAGCAAAGAUUUGUUAGGCCUUGAUGAAAGUUUUUCUGGUUGCGUCAAGAUGAGCCUAGAGGUUCUAGGCUUAUCCGGCACGAAUAUUAGUGGGCAGUUGCCUGAAUGGUUAUUCCAAUUCAGGAAGCUUAAAUCACUCCAGUUGAAGCAGAAUCUGAUUUCUGGGCCUAUUCCUGUAUCAAUUGGACAACUAGCAUCACUCCAAGAGCUCUUUCUUGGUCAAAAUCAAUUGAACGAAACAAUACCAGAAAGCGUGGGGUGGCUGUCUCAGCUUGUUUCUUUGGACCUUGAGCACAACAAUUUGGAGGGUGUAAUGUCUGAGGCGCAUUUUGGAAACCUCACAGAAUUGAAAGACUUGUAUUUGUCGUCCAACCCCUUGGCUCUAAAGGUCAAGAGCAAUUGGCUUCCUCCCUUCCAGCUUGAAUCCCUUCGGAUGGACUCUUGCAAACAGGGUCCUGAGUUCCCUGCAUGGCUCCAGUCGCAAAAAAAUAUUUCAGAAAUUGUUAUGUCUAAUGCUAGUAUUAUUGAUGCUAUGCCAGACUGGUUUUGGAGCUUAAUUUCCACAGCAGAGUACGUGAGUUUCUCCGGCAAUCAGAUCAGUGGCCACGUACCAAAUUUAUUGCAUUUAAACAACCUCAUCGAGUUGGAUUUAAGUUCAAACUACUUGGAGGGUCCUCUUCCAUAUUUUCCUCCUAGAUUGGAAGCAUUAGAUCUAUCAAACAAUUCAUUUUCAGGAACAAUUUCACUUGCCAUCAUCAUGAAUAUGCUAAACCUCAUGUAUUUAUCAUUUUCAGAAAACAAUUUAAGUGGUGAAAUUCCCUUCUCUAUAUGCAAACUGUCGGUCUUACAGUUUCUUGAUCUUUCAAAAAAUAUGUUAUCAGGAGAGCUCCCCAGUUGCUGGAAUGAUUCUUCCCCAAUUGAAUUUAUAGAUUUUUCAAGCAACAACAUAUCUGGAGUUAUUCCUGAGUCAAUAUGUUCCAUAGCAUCGCUUCAGUCGUUGCACUUGAGCAAUAACAGUCUAUCUGGAGAGCUGCCUUUGCCCUUGAAGGACUGUGGGAAAUUAUACCUUCUUGAUGCCGGAUAUAAUAAUUUGAAAGGUGAAAUUCCAACCUGGAUAGGUGAAAGUUUAACUAGUCUGAGGUUCCUCAAUCUGCGAUCAAAUAUGUUGGUCGGAGAUAUUCCUCCAAAUCUUUCAAGAUUGAGUGCUCUCCAAUUUCUCGACCUUGCGGGUAAUGAGCUAUCGGGUACUAUUCCAAGGAGCUUUGGAAAUUUUACUGCCAUGAAAGUAAUUGAAAAUUUUUCAAGUUCGACGACAGAUCAAAUUAGAUAUAAGGAGCAUAUGUUUAUUACAACUAAAGGAGACACUCAAGACUAUGGGAAGUCACUUUCGCUUAUGAAUAUUUUGGACCUCUCGGAUAAUAACUUAUUCGGAGGAGUACCUAAAGAAGUCACAAGUCUUUUUGGCUUAUUCAGCUUAAAUUUAUCUGGAAACCAUUUCACAGGAGAAAUCACUGAAAGUAUCAGUAAAUUACAACAAUUGGAGUCCCUUGACUUGUCAAGAAACAACUUUUCUGGCACAAUUCCUUCUAGCCUCGCUGCCUUGACUUAUUUGGCUCACUUGAACCUGUCAUACAACAACUUGUCAGGGGAAAUUCCUCUUGGUAAUCAACUUCUGACUUUCAAUGAUCCAUCGAUCUAUAUUGGCAAUCCUGAUCUUUGUGGGUUUCCUCUGAAUCAAAGUUGCAAAGAUAGUGAGACAGCACAAAGUCAAAGUAAUACAGAUGAUAGAGAUGAGAAUGAGAUGAUAUGGUUCUACACGAGCAUGGCACCAGGAUUUGUUGUUGGUUUCUGGGCAGUCUGGGGUACCUUAAUACUUAACAAGAAUUGGAACCUUUACUAUUUCCGAUUUAUAGACAACAUGCUUGACAAAGUAUAUGUGUUUAUCGUACUGAAAGUUUCUAGGAUCAGAAAACGUUGUUGUUCCCAACAAGGAUGAUAAAUUUGAACAUCAAUAUCUGCUGUAUGAGAGUUCAUCUCGUUAAUAUCAUAUCAUCAGCUUGAAUAAAUUUUAAUACUUCUGGACUUCUAUACAAGUAAGUCAUGCACUCUCAAUUUUGAUCAUUUCUGUCUAGAUAGCAGUACCAUAUGAAGUGUUCUAAUCUUGGGGGAUUGCCAGAAAGCUUGCACCUUUUAAUUAGUUUUUCCAAAAUAGACACCCCUUUUUUAGUUGUUCAGUUUGGCAGAAAUGAAAGGAGGUUAAAACUUUUACGAAGAUAUACAUAGAAUUUAUGGUUUUAUUUUCCUUCUUUCUUUUUCAUCCUCUAUUUUCCCAAGUUCAUAGUAUCUACUUUCAUCAAAUGCAUUUGCAUGUCUUGUUCUACCCAAGCAUUACACGCUCAAAACUUAUUCGAUUGCGAUCACAAGUUCGGCUGCAAAAGAUUUGACCACCUUAUUCGAUUAGUUUAACUCUUAUUGAACUUAUGCACAGGUGUUUCUACCAUACGCUACUCUUGUUUAUGUAAAUCCAGUGUCAGUAUAUCUAGAAUCAGAUUUCAUUUUACAUUACUAAAUUUUUCUAGAGAUCAAGGUUUAAAUGAUCAUUAACCCUCCCUAGAGUCCACAUUGGUGAGAGCCUCUCAAGCAAAGGUACGUCUUCUUCUAAAUCUCUUCAAAUAUUAAAUUUAUCUCACAUAAAAGAGAUUUUAUAUAUUAAUGCAGUCUGAAUUUUGAUAUAGAAUAACUUGUCAUCACUGUCAAGAUAACGCGAAUUCUGCCCUACAAAGACAGCCUGAGUUAGAGCAGGAGUAGCUUGGAUCUGAAUUGCAUGUACACUGGAAUUGCUUGUGAUGGUUUCGUAUGUGCUCUCUAACCUUCAAAGUUAUGGUGCUCUCAAAGAGCAAAUAAGGUUCAUACACAAGAGACUUGUUGUAUUUGAGAUGUUACUUGUGCUUCAUGCUUUGAGUCUUACUGUAAGUUUGUAUCCUCCAAACUGUACACUGCUAGAACUAUCCGACCGAAGAAGCCAUGGAUGCAUCUGCAGUUGCAACAGAUGGAGCUGUUUAAUAUGAUCUACUCAUGUAAUGAUCCUCUUGUGUUUGAGAUGCUUGUCUUCAUCAAUCAAAUACAAAUUGGUUGCAUCAUAAGCUCAAGUCCACCAAAUGUGCAGCUGCAUGAUCUUCUUGGAUCUCAUGCUCAGAUCUUUUCAGUUGAUGAGUCUCCCAUUAAUGGGGGACAUGCUGGUGCAGCUCAUGGAAUUGGGCCGAAGAGGCUUUCGCAUGCAGGAAUAAUCCAUUUAUGAUCAACAGAGUGUGGCCCCUCUCCGAGCCGCUCACAUUGAAGUUUGCCAUGGAUUCUGUGUCAUGACUCGGGAUGUAUACGAGCUUCAUUUGAUUACCUGUUGCCAUUAGCACUCAAAUGUAAGCAAAGUUCAUAAGAAUGUAAUUCUUGGUUCAAACUGUUUUGUGGACGCAAAACAAAGAAGAGGUGUUACAUCAACAUUUUCUUAUGGAUCUAAUUAUCACCCUCCAUAAAUAAGAGUGAUUAAGAUCAGGAGUGAAUCGAGAUUAAUAAUUUUUCUAGUAUCCAAUAAAUACAAAAUUAUGUAUUUUGAUUUAAUUAUAGACAUUAUCUUGUACAAAACUCGAGAAUUGAUUUUAAAUAAUUGUUAUUAUUUUUAUAAAUAAAAAUAUCUAUUGCUCAAAGAUAAUGUGUUAUUUAUAGAAAGGUUAGUUUGACUAGAAAUCCCACCACGAGAGAUUUCUUGAAAUAUAUUAAAAAUUAAUUAUUUUGAUCAUCUUGGCUAAACAAAAAAAUGUUGGUAAAAGGAAAACUUAGGUACUAAGACAUCAAGUUGGUAUCAUCAGCAAGAUUUGUAUAAAUUAGAGAGUCCAAUACACAAUCAAAACUGGAAAUUUAAACUUUAGAAUUACAAUCCGUAUUGUUAUAUUUCACAUAUAUGUUAUUCCCAAUUUAUCAAAGGACCAUUCAUAUUUAGAUCAGGAUCGAUGCCCUUCAAUUAUAAUUGUAAUUGUAAUUAGAUCUAUCUAUUCCUUACCACCUAGCUCCGAUUAACAUUUUAUUUUGGGUCAUGAUUCGAGGAGCACGUAACAAAAGACAUUCACAAGCUUCGAAACAUCAAUUACUCUCAUGUUUGUUCUUGAAUUCUACAACUAGAAAUCUGAUCGUAAUAAAUUUUAAGUGCCAAAAGGAGACGUUUAAAGAUAAGAGAAUGAAUAUUAUUAUUUAUCUUUUUUUAAAUAUAUUGAAAACUAAUUAUUUUGACCAUAGAGUUGGUAUUAUCAACAAAAUUUGUAUAAAUUAGAAAGUCUUGUACACAAUAAAUUUAAAAAUAAUUUCAAGGAACAAGAUUUGAGUAGCCUUUGUGGAUUUGAGUAGAAGGUAUAGAUUUAUUAUUUAUGGAAAUAGAACUUAUUGGUGAAAUCGAUAGGAAAUAUACUCAUUGGCCUUAUAGAGAAUCAAAAGAUUUUUUUAAAAAAACUAAAAAACAUAAGUGGUCAACUAAUUAGUUUCAUAAUUUUCUUUCCGUGUGUUGUUCUAUGAUUUGUUAUUAUUAUUGUUAUAGAUGAGAAGGUAUGAUAUAAGAAGACUAUAAAUAUGGUUUAAUUGUUAAUAAUUCAUAAAUACUAGGUUGUAUCUAAUACUAUUUCUUAUUUAUACAUGUCAACGGCUCAUAUUAAUUUUUUCUGUAUCGUUCUAAUUUUAUUAGAUGUUUCUGAGUUAUACUGGAUUUUGACGAAGAUAUUAAGUGAAAGAGUUGGUAAUAUCCUGAUUUAUCUUACGGAUAUGAGUAAGAUUGACUUAUAAAGAUAUGAUUGACUUGCUAUUAUUAAUUCAAACUUAAACACUUUAAUCAAUGAUUUGAGUUUUAAUAGCUUAUUAGUUUGUUAAGAGUAUCGACACGGAGAUACAUGAUUAAUCUAGUCUCACACAAUGAUAGAGUGAUGCAUAGUUAAUCCCUUUAUGCAAGAUUUACUUUUUUAACAUGAGAUGAUCAUUGUUUUCUUUGUUUUUCAUGAGUAAAGUUAGCAAGUUCUCGAAGAUAAAGAAAAAAAAAAUUGACGAGAGGAACAGUAGCAACAGAUUCUGAUCACAACCUAAGAUUCAAAGAUGAUGCAACCUUGCUGUUGCAAUAGUAGAUGAGACACUUGCUUUUGUUCGCAAUCGUCAGUCUUCCUUGGUCUUUCUAUUGAAAAGUACAAGGAAACAACUUGGCUCUGUUAGCUGGGAUUUAAGGUCUUCCUUCCUCUUGUUCAGUUGCAUUAUCAUGUCAAUUUCCAGGAGAGUUUCCCAGCGACUGCUGAUCGCUGUCUUUUUGGUGACCACAAAUCUUGUCUUUCUUUUAUUCGUGUUAAUAAUGGUUGUCUGAUAGCUACAAAUUUCUCCUAUUUAGCAGUUCUCAGGAAAUUCUCAAAACCUUCACAUUCAAGAAGAUGCUGGAGUCUUUAGAUGAAAGCUAUUCCAACUUUGGGACUCGUCAAAAUCAGAAGUCAUAGUUGACUGACUUGGGGAUAGACAACAAUAUGAAAUGAAGAACAAGUGCAUGAUAUUGGCAGACAGCCUAAUAGUUGAAGAUUUCUUGGUCUACUCUUUGAAUCCGUCAGUUGAAUAGUUUCAGACUAAUGGAGGAUGAUCCAAACAGGGCAUGAUAAGAUUUUGUGUAUUGCAAGCUGUCUACCGCAGAUUUCUCAUGAUUAAUCUUAAGAUAAGCUGCGUAUUUUUAUUAUAUGUAAUCUAAGAUAAUUGUGUUGGUGUGAGAUGAUCCACUGUGAUCAUGUAUACAAUUUUCCUCACAAUUGAUGGAAUCGUGGUCAUUGGUAAUAAUUAUUUUCAGGUGUAUUAAAAGGACAAAUCGAUCUGUUCUGUGAAAUUUCUUGCCAGUUUCUAUGCACUACCGGUGCCAGAAAUAUGAAAAUCUAAUUAAAUACCUUGACGAAUUAAGCUGCCAUUAUUGUUGUUUUUCAAGUUUCUUGGACUCAUUUUAGACAUUACAAGUGUAUGACAAUGGAUUUGCUCAGUAGAACAUCAUGGACACCUUCUAUCAUUGUCAAC
Molecule: long non-coding RNA, 21573 nt
Filed under: Musa acuminata (dwarf banana)
Lineage: Eukaryota; Viridiplantae; Streptophyta; Magnoliopsida; Zingiberales; Musaceae
Description: long non-coding RNA (MACU_LNC002180)
Source: RNAcentral